Molecule: ribosomal RNA, 492 nt
Filed under: uncultured bacterium
Lineage: Bacteria
Description: partial 16S ribosomal RNA
Rfam family: Bacterial small subunit ribosomal RNA
Source: RNAcentral
AGUGAACGCUGGCGGUAGGCCUAACACAUGCAAGUCGAACGGCAGCACAGUAAGAGCUUGCUCUUACGGGUGGCGAGUGGCGGACGGGUGAGGAAUACAUCGGAAUCUACUUUUUCGUGGGGGAUAACGUAGGGAAACUUACGCUAAUACCGCAUACGACCUACGGGUGAAAGCAGGGGAUCUUCGGACCUUGCGCGAUUGAAUGAGCCGAUGUCGGAUUAGCUAGUUGGCGGGGUAAAGGCCCACCAAGGCGACGAUCCGUAGCUGGUCUGAGAGGAUGAUCAGCCACACUGGAACUGAGACACGGUCCAGACUCCUACGGGAGGCAGCAGUGGGGAAUAUUGGACAAUGGGCGCAAGUCUGAUCCAGCCAUACCGCGUGGGUGAAGAAGGCCUUCGGGUUGUAAAGCCCUUUUGUUGGGAAAGAAAAGCAGCAGGUUAAUACCCCGCUGUUCUGACGGUACCCAAAGAUUAAGCACCGGCUAACUUCGUG